UGGGGAAUUUUGCACAAUGGGGGAAACCCUGAUGCAGCGACGCCGCGUGAUUUAGAAGGCCUUCGGGUUGUAAAAAUCUUUUCUAUGGGAAGAAAAUGACAGUACCAUAGGAAUAAGGACCGGCUAAUUACGUGCCAGCAGCCGCGGUAAUACGUAAGGUCCGAGCGUUGUCCGGAAUCAUUGGGCGUAAAGGGUACGUAGGCGGGUAAGCAAGUUAGAAGUGAAAUCCUAUAGCUCAACUAUAGUAAGCUUUUAAAACUGCUCAUCUUGAGGUAUGGAAGGGAAAGUGGAAUUCCUAGUGUAGCAGUGAAAUGCGCAGAUAUUAGGAGGAAUACCGGUGGCGAAGGCGACUUUCUGGCCAUAACCUGACGCUGAGGUACGAAAGCGUGGGUAGCAAACAGG
This 402-nucleotide ribosomal RNA is filed under the name bacterium. RNAcentral describes it as "partial 16S ribosomal RNA". It matches the Rfam family "Bacterial small subunit ribosomal RNA", at positions 355 to 776 of the family's 1533-position model. The record is from RNAcentral.